This 75-nucleotide microRNA precursor is filed under the name Python bivittatus (Burmese python). Its description in RNAcentral is "Pbv-Let-7-P2c1_pre stem-loop". It matches the Rfam family "let-7 microRNA precursor family", at positions 8 to 78 of the family's 84-position model. Rfam says of the family: This family represents the microRNAs (miRNA) let-7 and mir-98. let-7 was identified from a study of developmental timing in C. elegans, and was later shown to be part of a much larger class of non-coding RNAs termed miRNAs. The extents of the hairpin precursors are not generally known and are estimated based on hairpin prediction. Lineage: Eukaryota; Metazoa; Chordata; Lepidosauria; Squamata; Pythonidae. The record is from RNAcentral.
AGAGGUAGUAGGUUGCAUAGUUUUAGGGCAGUGGUUUUGCCUAUAAGGAGUUAACUAUACAACCUGCUGCCUUUC